RNAcentral lists this ribosomal RNA (256 nucleotides) under uncultured bacterium. RNAcentral's name for it is "partial 16S ribosomal RNA". It matches the Rfam family "Bacterial small subunit ribosomal RNA", at positions 793 to 1055 of the family's 1533-position model. The record is from RNAcentral.
GUCCGCACCGUAAACGAUGAUCACUCGUUGUCGGCGAUAUACAGUCGGCGACUAAGCGAAAGCAUUAAGUGAUCCACCUGGGAAGUACGACCGCAAGGUUGAAACUCAAAGGAAUUGACGGGGCCCGCACAAGCGGAGGAGCAUGUGGUUUAAUUCGAUGGUACGCGAGGAACCUUACCUGGGCUUGAAAGACAGUUGACCGUCUCUGAAAGGAGACUUUCGCAAGACAACUGUCUAGGUGCUGCAUGGCUGUCGU